Molecule: long non-coding RNA, 234 nt
Filed under: Elaeis guineensis (African oil palm)
Lineage: Eukaryota; Viridiplantae; Streptophyta; Magnoliopsida; Arecales; Arecaceae
Description: long non-coding RNA (EGUI_LNC009794)
Source: RNAcentral
GGUAGCCUCAAAAUGAGGGCAAUGUCUUCAGCAUAGAAGAUCAAUGUCUACCCUCCCAAAUGAAAUCUUCCCUUGCUGUCAUCCCAGCAACUGAGGAGUUAGUCUACAACUGUCCGCUCUUGUGUGAUGACUGGGAUGUCAAGCAUGUAGUAGAAGGAUGUCUGCUGUAUCAAUCUUUUAUGGACAUCUAUCAACAACUCUCGGAUGCCCCUGAUGAAGUCCACAUAUCGCCAU